CAGUCGCCACGGUAAUACGAAGGGUGCAAGCGUUAAUCGGAAUUACUGGGCGUAAAGCGUGCGUAGGCGGUGAGUUAAGUCUGCUGUGAAAUCCCCGGGCUCAACCUGGGAAUAGCAGUGGAUACUGGCUCGCUAGAGUGUGUCAGAGGAUGGUGGAAUUCCCGGUGUAGCGGUGAAAUGCGUAGAGAUCGGGAGGAACAUCAGUGGCGAAGGCGGCCAUCUGGGACAACACUGACGCUGAGGCACGAAAGCGUGGGGAGCAAACAGGAUUAGAUACCCCAGUAGUCCCUGUCUCUUAUAC
RNAcentral lists this ribosomal RNA (301 nucleotides) under uncultured bacterium. RNAcentral's name for it is "partial 16S ribosomal RNA". It matches the Rfam family "Bacterial small subunit ribosomal RNA", at positions 509 to 807 of the family's 1533-position model. The record is from RNAcentral.